This 1892-nucleotide long non-coding RNA is filed under the name Danio rerio (zebrafish). RNAcentral's name for it is "lncRNA si:dkey-182g1.8 (ENSDARG00000093787.3)". The record is from RNAcentral. Lineage: Eukaryota; Metazoa; Chordata; Actinopteri; Cypriniformes; Danionidae.
AGCUAAAAACUCAACUGCUGAAAGACAAAGGGGAGAAAACAACGAGGAUGAAUCGUAAAAGAAAGUUCUUCACCGAAGAGGUUGUGCUGUUGAACAAUCAAAGCAGCGACGAGGAGACUGAGUUUGAGGACAGUGAUGAAAGCGACGACGAAAUGCAUGUGCAUGAAACACACGAACCUAUUUUAUACCUGCAUUUAGCUGAAUCCUCUGAGGAGGAGUGGGAUUUUAACACCAACCAACAAUCAGAAAAGAAGUUGAUGCCUUCAGAUUUACCAGACUCGGUAUCCGUUUCAUCAAGAAAAGGUCUCAGGCAAUCAGCAAGAUUGAGAGCCAGCAAAACCUGUUCUCCACCUGUUCCUCGUACACCCGAGGAGGGGUGAAAUAAUUCAACUGAUGAGGAUAUAACACCUCGGCCUGCAGUCUUCAAAGCAUCUCGAAGACCAGGCCCACAGUUAAACCCCUCUGCAUCGUACAGUGUAUUGAAAUUGUUUCAGCUCUUCAUCUCUCCAUCAGUAGUGCAGACAAUUGUGCAAAACACCAACGCCUAUGGAGCCAAGCAACAAAAAGCCAAGUCCCAGUGGAAAGAUAUCUCCUGGAUCGACCUAUACUCUUAUCUGCUGCUUGUGAAAUACAUGGGCAUGUUGAAAAUGCAUUCGCUGACAGAUUACUGGAGGAAAUCUGACACCUUCAAAAUCCCAUUUCCAGCAGAAGUCAUGUCUGCAAGGAGGUUCUUCUCCAUCUCCUCCACUCUGCAUCUCAGUGAUCCUGAAGCGGAUGCUGAAAACAAGAAGAAAAUGGGAACACCUGCCUACGACAGCCUCUGCAAGAUCAAGCCCAUGAAUCAACAGCUAAGAGAAGCAUGUAAAAAAAAACUUUCACCCCUUUCAGAACAUCACCAUCGAUGAGAGGAAGGUGAAAACUAAGCCUAGAAAUCUUUCUGUGUUGUCCGACUCGCUCAGUGCGUACACAUGGGACUUCUUCAUCCAAGAAAGUAAAUCGACAGGACAGUUUCCACAGAGCAAUAAACUGGGUUGUGAGUCUGUCAUGGAGCUUGUUGAUGAGAAGAUGUUGGGAACGGGCUACAAACUGUUACUCGGCAAAGUCAACACAAAUCCAGCACUUUUUAGAGAUCUUCUGAGGAAAAAUAUCUGAGCUUGUGGGACUGUUUGGUCUAAUAGGCCGGGAUACCCUAAAACCACGGUCAACAAGCUUCCGAAAAAAGCCCCUAGAGGGGCUAUCUCUAUUUGCAGAGUUCUAAUUGGGGAAGAUGGCUUUAUUCUUAAAGGUGCAUGGGUGGAGCAGUUGCAACGGAAACACUCUUCCGCUAUUACUCAGUGUCACACAAGACAAGAAAGUGGUAUCGUAGGUUUUUCUACGACUGUGUGGACAUAGCCAUCGCAAACGCCUUCGUCUUACAUCGUGAAAUGGCAGCUACGAACAAGCAAAAGCCAAUGACACACAAGCAGUGCAGAGAAAAACUCUUUGAGGAACUUGCCAUAUUGGUGCUUCCAGAUUUUCCAUCAUCUCCUCCGUCUCCUCCCGAGGACACUCGGCACUUACCAGGAUACUUUGCUUCAGACAGCACCAAAGGAAGGCGCAAUUGCAAAGUUUGUGGACAAAAAACACCAAUUUAUUGCAAGACUUGUUUAGUGGCGAUGUGCUUUCAGCCGAAACGUGACUGCUUCUUUGCUUGGCAUAACCAGCACUGACCUCUUCAUUUCACACCUUGAACAUCUGAUGAUGGACAGGAAAAUAGUUUCUGAAAAACUGUGUGCUUCUAGCAGGUGAGUGGGCUUUACAAACCACCUGUAGGACACACUCUUUUCUCUUCGUAUUGUUUCUAGAUUGCUCCAGGACUGUUUUUAUAUUAAAUAAAGUGUGUUUAAUGCUGC